Meleagris gallopavo (turkey) is the source of this 274-nucleotide non-coding RNA. Lineage: Eukaryota; Metazoa; Chordata; Aves; Galliformes; Phasianidae. The record is from RefSeq and is a predicted model, not a curated record.
UCUGCAACACAUCUCUUCCAGCUUCACCAGCCUUCUCCUUAUUUUGAUCUGGGAGAUCCAUACUGUCGCCAUCUGCGCGCAGAAUACAACAGCCUGCAUGACCCACAUCUGCAGGACUACCACAACCGCAAAGACAACCUGCAGAACCUGAAGAACAGGGGCCUUGUCACUGAGGAUGGCAAAGUUGUCUGCACUCUGAAAGAGUUCAACGAGUACAGGCAGUACCUGACCAGGCUGAAGCUGGAGCGGGAGAAAAUAAAGAGGCAAAAAGAGG